Molecule: small nuclear RNA, 104 nt
Organism: Antechinus flavipes (yellow-footed antechinus)
Lineage: Eukaryota; Metazoa; Chordata; Mammalia; Dasyuromorphia; Dasyuridae
Source: RefSeq, a predicted model, not a curated record
GGGCUCAGUUCACCAGCACACAUAUUAGAAUUGGAACAACACAGAGGAGAUUAACAUAGCCCCUAUGGAAGGACAUGCAAAUGCAUAAAGCAUUCUGCAUUUUU